UUGCAGGCUGUUCCAGCAAGGCUCAGCCUCAUGUGGCUCUGACCUUUCCUGUAGUGUCUGCUAGAGAGAAUGGAGGCUGUUUGAGGCCUUGCUGUGUCUUUUUCACGGCCGGGUUAUAGGUAAACCUCGGACAUUG
Lampris incognitus (smalleye Pacific opah) is the source of this 136-nucleotide small nucleolar RNA. RefSeq annotates it as small nucleolar RNA SNORA9. The transcript has a single exon. The record is from RefSeq and is a predicted model, not a curated record. NCBI's taxonomy places the organism in Eukaryota, Metazoa, Chordata, Actinopteri, Lampriformes, Lampridae.